Molecule: non-coding RNA, 51 nt
Filed under: Ctenophora environmental sample
Lineage: Eukaryota; Metazoa; Ctenophora
Source: RNAcentral
UUUACUCUUAUAUUUUAUAUUUGUAAUAAAAAAAAAAAAAAAAAAAAAAAA